UACGUAGGGUGGCAAGCGUUGUCCGGAAUUAUUGGGCGUAAAGCGCGCGCAGGCGGCCUUUUAAGUCUGAUGUGAAAGCCCACGGCUCAACCGUGGAAGGUCAUUGGAAACUGAAAGGCUUGAGUACAGAAGAGGAAAGCGGAAUUCCACGUGUAGCGGUGAAAUGCGUAGAGAUGUGGAGGAACACCAGUGGCGAAGGCGGCUUUCUGGUCUGUAACUGACGCUGAGGCGCGAAAGCGUGGGGAGCAAACAGG
This 254-nucleotide ribosomal RNA is filed under the name uncultured bacterium. RNAcentral describes it as "partial 16S ribosomal RNA". It matches the Rfam family "Bacterial small subunit ribosomal RNA", at positions 524 to 776 of the family's 1533-position model. The record is from RNAcentral.